AAAACUUUAAGUUAAAAAAACUAUUAAUCUUCAAAAUUAAAAAUAUUAUUUUUUAAUAAGUUUUU
RNAcentral lists this transfer RNA (65 nucleotides) under Telenomus remus. RNAcentral describes it as "tRNA-Trp". Lineage: Eukaryota; Metazoa; Arthropoda; Insecta; Hymenoptera; Scelionidae. The record is from RNAcentral.